RNAcentral lists this ribosomal RNA (460 nucleotides) under uncultured bacterium. RNAcentral's name for it is "partial 16S ribosomal RNA". It matches the Rfam family "Bacterial small subunit ribosomal RNA", at positions 338 to 795 of the family's 1533-position model. The record is from RNAcentral.
CCUACGGGUGGCAGCAGUGAGGAAUAUUGGUCAAUGGGCUUACGCCUGAACCAGCCAAGUCGCGUGAGGGAAGACUGCCCUAUGGUUUGUAAACCUCUUUUGUCAGGGAGCAACGCCGGCGACGUGUAGCCGGACUGAGAGUACCUGACGACAAAGCAUCGGCAAACUCCGUGCCAGCAGCCGCGGUAAUACGGAGGAUGCGAGCGUUAGCCGGAUGUAUUGGGUUAAAGGGGUGCGUAGGCGGAAUGCCAAGUCAGCGGUAAAAUCGCGGGGCUCAACCUCGCUCCGCCGUUGAAACUGGCGUGCUUGAGUGGGCGAGAAGUAUGCAGAAUGCGUGGUGUAGCGGUGAAAUGCAUAGAUAUCACGCAGAACUCCGAUUGCGAAGGCAGCAUCCCGGCGAAAAACUGACGCUGAAGUACGAAAGCGUGGGUAGCGAACAGGAUUAGAUACCCUUGUAGUC